Molecule: ribosomal RNA, 433 nt
Filed under: uncultured bacterium
Lineage: Bacteria
Description: partial 16S ribosomal RNA
Rfam family: Bacterial small subunit ribosomal RNA
Source: RNAcentral
AACGAACGCUGGCGGCAUGCCUAACACAUGCAAGUCGAACGAGACCUUCGGGUCUAGUGGCGCACGGGUGCUUAACGCGUGGGAACCUGCCCUUAGGUUCGGAAUAACUCCCCGAAAGGGGUGCUAAUACCGGUUAAUGUCUUCGGACCAAGGAUUUAUCGCUUUUGGAUGGGCCCGCGUUGGAUUAGCUAGUUGGUAGGGUAAAAGCCUACCAAGGCGACGAUCCAUAGCUGGUCUGAGAGGAUGAUCAGCCACACUGGGACUGAGACACGGCCCAGACUCCUACGGGAGGCAGCAGUGGGGAAUAUUGGACAAUGGGCGAAAGCGUGAUCCAGCAAUGCCGCGUGAGUGAUGAAGGCCUUAGGGUUGUAAAGCUCUUUUACCCGGGAUGAUAAUGACAGUACCGGGAGAAUAAGCUCCGGCUAACUACGUG